UACGAAGGGGGCUAGCGUUGUUCGGAAUUACUGGGCGUAAAGGGCGCGUAGGCGGUUUGUCGCGUCUGCUGUGAAAACUGGAGGCUCAACCUCCAGCCUGCAGUGGGUACGGGCAGACUAGAGUGUGGUAGGGGAGACUGGAAUUCCUGGUGUAGCGGUGAAAUGCGCAGAUAUCAGGAGGAACACCGAUGGCGAAGGCAGGUCUCUGGGCCACUACUGACGCUGAGAAGCGGAAAGCAUGGGGAGCGAACAGG
Molecule: ribosomal RNA, 254 nt
Filed under: uncultured bacterium
Lineage: Bacteria
Description: partial 16S ribosomal RNA
Rfam family: Bacterial small subunit ribosomal RNA
Source: RNAcentral